GGAUGUGAGGGCGAUCUGGCUGCGACAUCUGUCACCCCAUUGAUCGCCAGGGUUGAUUCGGCUGAUCUGGCUGGCUAGGCGGGUGUCCCCCUCCUCCCUCACCAAUCCAUGUGCGUCCCUCCCGAAGCUGCGCGCUCGGUCGAAGAGGACGACCUUCCCCCCCGAGGAGAGGACCGGUCUUCGGUCAAGGGUAUACGAGUAGCUGCGCUCCCCUGCUAGAACCUCCAAACAAGCUCUCAAGAUAUUGACAUAUAGCAUUUUCAGGUAUACAACAUGAUUUGAUAUAUGUGUAUAUUGAAA
This is an unclassified non-coding RNA of Myotis lucifugus (little brown bat), 300 nucleotides long. Its record names the gene 7SK. It matches the Rfam family "7SK RNA". From Rfam's summary of the family: 7SK was discovered as an abundant small nuclear RNA in the mid-70s but a possible function has only recently been suggested. Two independent studies have found that 7SK RNA binds the CDK9/cyclin T complex (known as elongation factor P-TEFb). Lineage: Eukaryota; Metazoa; Chordata; Mammalia; Chiroptera; Vespertilionidae. The record is from Ensembl.